This 886-nucleotide long non-coding RNA is filed under the name Carica papaya (papaya). Its description in RNAcentral is "long non-coding RNA (CPAP_LNC008415)". The record is from RNAcentral. Lineage: Eukaryota; Viridiplantae; Streptophyta; Magnoliopsida; Brassicales; Caricaceae.
UAAAUGUUGGAUGUGCUCGGGAAGGUACUCCACAUGAAAGGCUGCUAAAAACUGUUCCCAAGUGACUAGUGUAGGCAGGGUGGUCUGCUUGAGCUCCCACCAACGAUCUACUUCCCCCACCAGCAUGUAGGAAGCAAGAGUAACCCUCUGCUCAGGAACCACUCUUAAGGUCUUGAAAGCCUUCUCUGUCUCCGCCAACCAGUAUUGGGCAUCUUCAAAAGAGGACUCCCCUGCAAAAGUGGAAGGGUUUAGUCCCCUAUACCUCUCUACGUAGCCCGGGUCAAUCAGGGAAGGAGUUGGGUCCCGUGGAAGAGGGACUAGGCUGGGCUAAGGAUAGACUGGGGGGCCCUGUGGUGGCACCUGCUGAUAUAGUGGGGGCACCGGAUUAUACUAUGGCGGUGCCAGGUAAUACUGUGGCUGAGGCACCGGAUUAUACUGCGGCGGUGGUGCCGGGUGGUACUGUGAAGGAGCAGGCUCUUGCCGGGGUGGCUCGGGAUCCGCUCGCUGCAGCGGUGGCUCAACCUGUGGUAGUGGGGGAGGCUCGGGUAAUUCCUUUCUCCCCUUUCAACCUUGCUGAGCAGCAAUGAUCCUUUCGAGCAUCUCAAAUAUUCUGUCAACAUCUUUCCGAAGUGAAUCAUCCCGGGCUGCUCGGUUUAGUGGGGGUCUCCCUCUCCUCAUCUCUCUGCACCUGCAUUUCACAAGGAAUGGUUGAGUAAUGAUUCUCAGUUUAGUAUUCCACUAAAUAUUAUUGUGUAAGGGACGGGUCCAAGGAACGCGGCUUUGAUAUCAACUCCUACUGAUCUGAAUUGGUUAAGUAAGGAAUGAGCUACACUAGCCUAGUAAAAAUGUCACAUUAUCUCACCGUCACAGUAAUAAAGGUUGGUAG